GAUGAAGAACGCAGUGAAAUGCGAUAAGUAAUGUGAAUUGCAGAAUUCAGUGAAUCAUCGAAUCUUUGAACGCACAUUGCGCCCGCCAGUAUUCUGGUGGGCAUGCCUGUCCGAGCGUCAUUUCAACCCUCGAACCCCUCCGGGGGGUCGGCGUUGGGGAUCGGGAACCCCUAAGACGGGAUCCCGGCCCCGAAAUACAGUGGCGGUCUCGCCGCAGCCUCUCCUGCGCAGUAGUUUGCACAACUCGCACCGGGAGCGCGGCGCGUCCACGUCCGUAAAACACCCAACUUUCUGAAAUGUUGACCUCGGAUCAGGUAGGAAUACCCGCUGAACUUAAGCAUAUCAAUAAGCGGAGGA
Molecule: unclassified non-coding RNA, 357 nt
Filed under: soil metagenome
Description: partial contains 5.8S ribosomal RNA, internal transcribed spacer 2, and large subunit ribosomal RNA
Rfam family: 5.8S ribosomal RNA (bases 1-120)
Source: RNAcentral